Molecule: ribosomal RNA, 1091 nt
Filed under: human gut metagenome
Description: bacterial LSU rRNA
Rfam family: Bacterial large subunit ribosomal RNA
Source: RNAcentral
CAGACAACCAGGAUGUUGGCUCAGAAGCAGCCACACAUUUAAAGAGUGCGUAAUAGCUCACUGGUCGAGUGAUUGUGCGCCGAAGAUGUCCGGGGCUAAACGUGACACCGAAGCGAUGGGUGCAUCUGAAAGGAUGCGCGGUAGAGGAGCAAUGUGCAGAGGCAGAAGCCGUAUCGAGAGGCACGGUGGACACUGCACAAGAGAGAAUGCCGGUAUGAGUAGCGAGAGGCAUGCGAGAAACAUGCCCGUCGAAAGCCCAAGGUUUCCUGGGGAAGGUUCAUCCGCCCAGGGUAAGUCGGGGCCUAAGCCGAGGACGGAAGUCGUAGGCGAUGGACAGCAGGUGUAGAUUCCUGCACUACCGAUGGAAUGAAGCAGUGACACAGAAGGAUAACUCGAGCAGGGUGAUGGUCAACCCUGUGCAAGCAUCAAGGUUGGGUUGUAGUGAAGUACGCAAUCCUAUAAGCUGAGGUGUGAUGCGGACCGAAAUUUCAGUAGGGAAGCGAGUGAGUUCACGCUGGCGAGAAAAGCUGCUAGUACAUCCAAAGGUACCCGUACCGGAAACCGACGCAGGUGGGCGAGGAGAGAAUCCUGAGACGAACGGGAGAACCCUUGUUAAGGAACUCGGCAAAAUGACCCCGUAACUUCGGGAUAAGGGGUGCCUGCGAGAGCAGGCCGCAGAGAAUAGUCACAAGCGACUGUUUAGCAAAAACACAGGUAUCUGCGAAAGCGAGAGCUGACGUAUAGGUGCUGACACCUGCCCGGUGCUGGAAGGUUAAGGGAACAUGUUAGAGCAAUCGAAGCAUCGAACCGAAGCCCCAGUAAACGGCGGCCGUAACUAUAACGGUCCUAAGGUAGCGAAAUUCCUUGUCGGGUAAGUUCCGACCCGCACGAAUGGUGUAACGACUUGUGAGCUGUCUCAACAGGGGGCCCGGUGAAAUUGAAGUAUGGGUGAAGAUGCCCAUUACCCGCGACUGGACGGAAAGACCCCGUAGAGCUUUACUGCAGCCUGAUAUUGAGUUUCGGUAACUGAUGCACAGGAUAGGUGGGAGUCUGAGAGACAUGGGUUUCGGCUCAUGUGGAGACGGUGUUGG